RNAcentral lists this ribosomal RNA (253 nucleotides) under uncultured bacterium. Its description in RNAcentral is "partial 16S ribosomal RNA". It matches the Rfam family "Bacterial small subunit ribosomal RNA", at positions 524 to 776 of the family's 1533-position model. The record is from RNAcentral.
UACAGAGGGUGCAAGCGUUGUUCGGAUUUACUGGGCGUAAAGCGCGUGUAGGCGGUGGCGUAAGUCGGAUGUGAAAUCCCUCGGCUUAACCGAGGACGUGCACCCGAUACUGUGCCACUUGAGUACCGGAGGGGAUGGCGGAAUUCCCGGUGUAGAGGUGAAAUUCGUAGAUAUCGGGAGGAACACCUGUGGCGAAGGCGGCCAUCUGGACGGUAACUGACGCUGAGACGCGAAAGCGUGGGUAGCAAACAGG